Molecule: microRNA precursor, 99 nt
Filed under: Canis lupus familiaris (dog)
Lineage: Eukaryota; Metazoa; Chordata; Mammalia; Carnivora; Canidae
Also listed under: 1 other name
Description: mir-544 microRNA precursor family
Rfam family: mir-544 microRNA precursor family
Source: Rfam by way of RNAcentral
AUCGCCUGGGGAUCUUAUUAAAAAUGCAGAUUCUGAUUCCAUGUGUCUGGGGUAGUGUCCAAGAUUGUGCAUUUCUAAUGAGCUCACAAGCGAUGCUCA